UUGCUGUCUGUGCUGCAGUAAUAAAGAAACACGCGGAUAGACAGAACGGCUUCAAGUGAUGGGCAGUCUCCGGGGAUCUGCAGUGAGAUGGCCGGCUGACUGGAAAUGCUCUCAAUCACUCCAGAGGGUAUUUGUCCUUGAAGAAGCCAUUCAUUGCCUACCAAAGAAAAACGUCAAUUACGAAGAGAUGAAGUUAACAGCGAUCUCCAAUCGAUGCACUGCUUUCCGACUAACAGCCGUAGGCACAGCAGUGAAACCCACAGUCAGGACCUGCUCGGGAUCCACGGACAACCGUGGAAUGGCCAGGGUUUGAGUGUCUCCUGCCCACAAAGCUGGCUCCAAACAUCUUCCUCCUCGCCUGCAGAGCUCAGCCCUCUCCUUUGUGGGGGGCAGGGUGGUUGGUCUUCCAAAGCUCAGUCGGUCACCAGGUCACCCAAGAGCCAGCCUCCUCCCCAACUCUGGCCCAGCAGCUCCUCCCAGCAGGCCCACUGAGAUCUCUGUUCUCUCGGUUCAGAAGCCCAGCUCGUGGCUGCUGCCCUGGGAAAGCAGGACGGAAUGGGCCAUCUACAACAGCGUUUCCAGAUCUGAAGACUGGAAGCUAGGAAAUAAGGAAAUCUGUUAAUUAAAGCACAGCUACUUUACAGUAACUGUAAAGAGCUUAGUUUUGGACCACAGUAGAAAAAUGAGGUUCUGUGUCAAUGAAACUUAAUGCCAUUCUAGUCUGAAUUAGAAAUGUGCUUACUUAGACGUCCUUAUGAUUAUUUUUUAGGCUGAGAAACAUUUCAUCCUGGCAAAAAGUUACCAAUACUCAUGAAUGAAACAGAACUAAGUUCAUUGUCUGAUAUGUUUAUAGAUGGUAGGAAAUUAAAAUGUUAUCAAUUUAAAUGUAGGGGAUAUAAUUCCAAUUACAAUUUUCACUGCCAACUAGAAGAUGAUCUGUAUCAGGAGAAACGACACUUAUGUUAUGAUGGUAGUUUGUAUUUUUACUUUAAGUCUUGGGAAUCUAAAAUCCUAGAAUUUUAGAAAAAAAUUGCAUUUUUUUUUCAGGCAAAUGUGAUAUAUCAGAAGGUAGCUUGAAAAAUUUGGGGGACUAGAGCUUUAUCUUUAAAAAAUUUGAUUAGAAUUCAUUUAAGUUUCUUCCAUCUUAUUUUCAAUGUGCUGAGAAAUGUGGCUGCUCAAGUUUCCUGUGGGAGGUUAUUUGCUGACGGUUCACCAUCGGAAAGACAGACUACAUGUUGAUUUAAGAAGCAUUAAAAGAAAACCCAAAACACCUUGACAACCCACGCUACAUGGUUACUCCGAGUGGGUGCUGAAGCUUGGCAUUGAUUCCUACUCCAUCAACAUCACCAAAAGCAAAUAAAUUCUUUUUUUUUUAAAGAAAGAGACAGGAUAUAUUAAAAUUUUUACAGUGCUAUAGUAUACGGUAUAAAGUAAAAAGAUGACUAUAUGCUAGUUAAGCUAAAGAUGAAAUGGGUCUGAUUUUUUAUUAAUGUUUACUUAUUUUUGAGAGAGAGAGAGACAGAGCAUGAACAGGGGAGGG
Long non-coding RNA from Suricata suricatta (meerkat), 1540 nucleotides. RefSeq lists it as uncharacterized. The transcript has 4 exons. Lineage: Eukaryota; Metazoa; Chordata; Mammalia; Carnivora; Herpestidae. The record is from RefSeq and is a predicted model, not a curated record.